GAUAUUAUACAAGGCCUUUCAUGAACACUUACUGAAUGCCUCCACACAAUGGCAUAACUCACGCGUUGCAAGAAUAUAACCAUCCACGACAAUGUGAAGUGACAUGCAAUGACAAGCUGAAGAGGUUCAGGUAGGUCAUGUUACUGAUCUUCAAUCUUAAAUGCACUCUCAUUGCACAGCUUAUUGCUUUCAUUCCCGGGGACAGGUGGUGUUUUCGUGAAAUUGUCUACCCAUGUUGACUUGGUUGUGUGAGGCACAUCUGCUAUAUGAUACCGGUAUCAACCUACCUCACAGAUUAUUUUGCAGUUUGUUAUCUCAGUGAUCCGGAAAUUGAAACCCAAUUCUGUUUUAAGCGUCCGAUGGUGCGCUUCAAUAAAAUUACAAGAGCGGUGACUUUAUCUCGCAUGUCACUGAAUAUGAACAACUGCUUGCUUGGUAAAGUUGACUACUAUUGCGUAGAAGUUGUGUCAUCCAGGAAGUAGAUCUAACCUAAAUACCUGGGGUACUCUCAUAUGAUUGGCCGGCUCCUGGGAACUACAGGUGUACCCAGACAGCUGAGGAUCAGCAGUUUUAUGGAUUACCCUUGCCGAAAGGAGACCAACAGAAACCGGUUUGGCGAAUCGUGUUUGGAACCUGUUAAAACUACUACUGCAUCCCAUGUUUGAGGGCAUAAUCAACGCUAAUGACUCUUUUGGUGUUGAUACUGCUUGGAUGUGUUACAGUCACCAGGCUGGAUGAGGAAACCGCAUCUAUCACCUGUGCAUCAUCAGCGGGACGUAAUGACAUCGACAGCUCGACCACUUGCACAAGGCCACAGAGAAGAAACUUAAGAAGAGAGCUGUCGAGAUUCAAGAAACAUGCCAGGUUCAAGGACGCACUUAUUUAUAAUAUACCCCAAAAAAUGGAUGAAUUUAGAAAAGAAAUGGAGAGAGACUUUUGGAAAGAACCAUUUGCACAACCUUUGACAACAGACAUAUUUCCAAAAGACAUUUGCACGGGAUAUUGGCACGAUGACUAUAAUGACGUAUGUCGUAAAAUGGAUGUUUUGACCUACAGUAAGUUGCGAUAUCCGCGACGUAUACACGAAUACAGAUGUUGUCCACCGCCGAAACAUCUGAAAGGACAUUGCAAGCCCGUGAAAAUACCUGUACACGUCCUACAGAUCGUCCGCCCUGCACACAUAUAUUGUCGGUGCGUGGUAUGGGAUUUCUAUUUCAAAACUGUGGGAUGUUCCUACGAACCUGACAAUUCAAGAAGUUUUCGAGAUAAGACAUAAUCUUUCGCAACGGAUGUUGAGACGUCUAGCCUAGUUAAGUUGCUGUUAGUGUGUAGCGCUACCUCUAUGGUGUGGAUGCAGUUGUAGAGACAACACAUAACCAGCUAAGUUGAAGCAGGGCAGAACGUGUUUGGCAAUGUGUGCUUCUUGUUGUUUCUAUGUGACGUUCACCAGGAUAUGUGUGAGCCUGACUCUGGUAAUCUCCCACUCGCUAGUGACACAAACUACCGUCUGAGCCUCACAUCUGAAACCUCAGAUUGAUCAAUCACAAUCGAUAUUGUUCAAAGUACAAAGUGGUAUAUUAUCGGUGACUAUAACUCUUCCACACUGUCUUCCAUGGAUUCUAUGUCAGUGUUGUCAGGAUUCCCAAUCAAACUAAACAGAAGUGCAUCAACUAUAUAUUCCACUGAUGCAUGUACGUAAAUGUACAUCUAUAUCCUGCGUCUUGAUGUGUCUGAUUAUCUGGAACAAUGUAAAAUUGACUGGAAUCAAAUUUAAACAGAUAGUUGUCAGAACAGAUGUAUACUAAACAAUGAUUAUAGGGCUGCUUUUGUAAUGGCAAUAUAUUUUAGACCAGUGGAUACAUAGUUUAUUUGCGAUGAAACUUCAAUACCAAGGUGUUUAAAUUUUACCUUGAUGUUAUUAGAAUGGACACUUUGAUGACACUUGAUAAAGUGCCAGAUCCUUCAAAAACAAGAUUCAGUGUCGGGUGUAACUUAUAAUCAUCUCCAAAAUGACUUUGACGUGAAAAGCUCACGAAUGUGUAAUGUCUUAAAGUCAAUGUGACCGGCCCUGACAGCAGGCUGUGAGACUUGACUUGGGCCUCGUCCAAUACAGUGUAGACUGAACUCACGUCCGGGCAAUACGCCGACCAAACCAUAACCUUGCAUUGUUUCGCAAUGUAACUCCGUGGCGUGUUCGAUGAAUGGUCGGGAUAAGUCGUGCAUACAAACAAAGUCGCCAUCUAAAGACACCGGCGUAAGGUUGUAAGGUGUUUUCUUACAGGCAUUGUAAAGACCAAACGAUCAUGGUAGAAACGAUUAAUAGCACUGUUGGAAUGACAUGUACCGUAUCAGAGAAAAAGGCAAGGACCGGUGUCACUGAUCGGGAACGUCAGUGUAUAAACAUCCAUGUAUUGGCUAGGUACCACAUACAACAGAGCUGCGUGCAUCUCCACAACAGAGUCAGACAAUUCCACACGAUACGCACAAAUUUCCUGAACAAAUAUUAGUGGCCCAUGACGUUUGUGUUACUUCUAUACAACUAUGUAUAUUGACCAUUUCUUCGGGCACAUCUACCAUGACACCCUUAAGCCAUUUUCUAAACUCUUGGCAAAGUGUCCGAUGGCCUGGGUAUAUAUAACAUAAUCAACGGUUCUAACCAAUGCUGAGUUGGGUUUGUCGAAUCAAAUUUAAUAUUCAGCUACUAAAUGAAGUAUAUUUCUUAUUUUGAUCAUACAUGGGUGACAUUGAACUGGGCAUACAUCUGAGUGUUAUCCACGACGUUCUUAAUUAAGUUCACGUUUGCGUGAUGUUGUCAUCUGUAGUUAUCCACAAAGCUUUAGUGGUGAUGUACAAGUGCAUUUGUAUUUCUACUAGGUUACCUAACUCUUUCUGAAAUAUAGUGAUGAUGAUAAGUUAUGAUAAUUAGCUACUACAGUUGGUAUUUGUUUCUUUAAUCCAAAGCGAUUCAUUCAUGUGGUCAUUUAUCAAAGAUCAUCUACAGACAAAGAUGAACCAAGCCUAUUCAAACCAGACAUAAAUACACAUAUGAUUAUAUAUAUAUAUAUAUAUAUAUAUAUAUCUAUAUCUACUUACAUAUGCACGCCUACAUCAGUAGGUUCUCUCAUCAGUGUGUAGCUGCUCACGUGUACUGUCACCUGGGUAAUCACGCUCAUGUGGCGCCCAACACAUAAGUACAUUCAAGCAUCACGUCAUCAGAAUAUUUACCCACCAAACCCAAACCAAAUAUGUACACAUUCACUUUCCUGAUGCCAGGCGUCGGUGAGUGUGGUUUUACUUCUUCAAAUAUUCCAGCCAUAUCAUAAACAGGGUCACCAGUAAGUAUUUUGCGAACUGAAUCCGGGUAUUCGGCCGGACGAAUCACUGGCUACCAUCCUGCCCCUGAAGGUCUAUUCAGCAAGUUGUACGUAGACACACAUAGCUCAAUGACAUCCCAUUGUAUACAUCGCUUCAAAGCUGUAUAAAGUAUACAUUCAUGUUUUCAAGCAUAGAACAUUCAGGUGUUGCAAUAGAACUUACGUUUUCGUAAGGGAUUAGUUCAUAUCACAUGUUUUCAUUUUCACUGUACAAUACAUGUAUUUCGCUUGAUUACAUUCCGUUAAUUUCAUUGUAUGACGUUUCAAUUGUAGAUGUGGUUUCCUAAUUACUGGUCAAUGUUUUCAGUCUUACCUACCUACAGAUGCAUGACGUCAGGGAGGAGGCGAAAUAAUUUGCCAAAUAGCUGUCUCAUUUCUUGCAUUUUGUAUCAAUAAAAUAUGUUUAAGCUAUAA
This 3788-nucleotide long non-coding RNA is filed under the name Haliotis rufescens (red abalone). Its description in RNAcentral is "uncharacterized LOC124141839". Lineage: Eukaryota; Metazoa; Mollusca; Gastropoda; Lepetellida; Haliotidae. The record is from RNAcentral.